Molecule: ribosomal RNA, 646 nt
Filed under: uncultured bacterium
Lineage: Bacteria
Description: bacterial SSU rRNA
Rfam family: Bacterial small subunit ribosomal RNA
Source: RNAcentral
AGAGUUUGAUCCUGGCUCAGAUUGAACGCUGGCGGCAUGCCUUACACAUGCAAGUCGAACGGUAACAGGUCUUCGGAUGCUGACGAGUGGCGAACGGGUGAGUAAUACAUCGGAACGUGCCCGAUCGUGGGGGAUAACGGAGCGAAAGCUUUGCUAAUACCGCAUACGAUCUACGGAUGAAAGCAGGGGACCGCAAGGCCUUGCGCGGACGGAGCGGCCGAUGGCAGAUUAGGUAGUUGGUGGGAUAAAAGCUUACCAAGCCGACGAUCUGUAGCUGGUCUGAGAGGACGACCAGCCACACUGGGACUGAGACACGGCCCAGACUCCUACGGGAGGCAGCAGUGGGGAAUUUUGGACAAUGGGCGCAAGCCUGAUCCAGCCAUGCCGCGUGCAGGAUGAAGGCCUUCGGGUUGUAAACUGCUUUUGUACGGAACGAAAAGACUCUGGUUAAUACCUGGGGUCCAUGACGGUACCGUAAGAAUAAGCACCGGCUAACUACGUGCCANCAGCCGCGGUAAUACGUAGGGUGCAAGCGUUAAUCGGAAUUACUGGGCGUAAAGCGUGCGCANGCGGUUAUGUAAGACAGAUGUGAAAUCCCCGGGCUCAACCUGGGAACUGCAUUUGUGACUGCAUAGCUAGAGUACGG